RNAcentral lists this ribosomal RNA (494 nucleotides) under uncultured bacterium. Its description in RNAcentral is "bacterial SSU rRNA". It matches the Rfam family "Bacterial small subunit ribosomal RNA", at positions 1 to 475 of the family's 1533-position model. The record is from RNAcentral.
AAUUCGCCCUUAGAGUUUGAUCCUGGCUCAGGACGAACGCUGGCGGCGUGCCUAAUACAUGCAAGUAGAACGCUGAAGGAGGAGCUUGCUUCUCUGGAUGAGUUGCGAACGGGUGAGUAACGCGUAGGUAACCUGCCUGGUAGCGGGGGAUAACUAUUGGAAACGAUAGCUAAUACCGCAUAAUAUUGACUAUUGCAUGAUAGUCAAUUAAAAGGUGCAAUUGCAUCACUACCAGAUGGACCUGCGUUGUAUUAGCUAGUUGGUGGGGUAACGGCUCACCAAGGCGACGAUACAUAGCCGACCUGAGAGGGUGAUCGGCCACACUGGGACUGAGACACGGCCCAGACUCCUACGGGAGGCAGCAGUAGGGAAUCUUCGGCAAUGGACGGAAGUCUGACCGAGCAACGCCGCGUGAGUGAAGAAGGUUUUCGGAUCGUAAAGCUCUGUUGUAAGAGAAGAACGAGUGUGAGAGUGGAAAGUUCACACUGUGACGG